RNAcentral lists this unclassified non-coding RNA (2431 nucleotides) under Hevea brasiliensis (rubber tree). The record is from RNAcentral. Lineage: Eukaryota; Viridiplantae; Streptophyta; Magnoliopsida; Malpighiales; Euphorbiaceae.
UUGAUAAGUAAUGCAAUAGAUUGCAUUGAUUUUGGAUGUAUACAACAUAAACAUCUGACCUAAGGACUAAUUGGAAGUAACCUAAGUCCCGAGUCUGCUUUUGCAACUAGCUAAUAAGCCCCAGUAGCAGAAAAACUUUAAGGUUCACAAAUGUUGAAUUGGCUGCACAAUGUUUAAUCUCAUCUCUGUACAGGAUUAUUUGUUUUCAAAAAUUGGUAAUCGGUGAUUAGUAUUCUUGUAAGUGGUCUUGCUAUUGGAUUUUUCCUUAAUUUGUUUUUGUUUUUUGUGAAAAAGUUAUACAAAUUUAAUGAUGCAGGCUAAAGAAUUACUCUAAGCAUUCAAAACAUGUGAUUUCCAUUGUGACCAUCUCAGGAUGAGAGGGAAAGCAACAAGCGAUAUACUUUUAGAUGAAACUACGCAGUCCAUGUAUCGUAGCUUUCUCAAAACAGUGCCUUAUCUCUACAUUGGGUUAGGGCUCUAAAUUCAGAUCAUUAAUGUUAUUGUUAUUGGAGAUCAAUUCAGAUUCAGCAUUAUUGCGAUGAGAGAUCAAUUCAAAUUUUAAAUGUGCUGUAACUUUUUAAGAGGAAUUGGAUAGCUUGAAAGUCAAGUGGUUGACAAGGCCAAAUCUCUUCACUUAGAUUUGUUCUCUCAGUUUACCUAUGUAUAUGGAGUCCCUCACCUUACCACCUUGAGAAGGGUGCUUAAUGCUUUCUUUCUUCAAAUUUGAUGCGCGCAACAUGUGACUUAGGAAGAAGUAUGUUUGAAGACUUAGGAACUUUAGAAUUAUGGUGUAGAUUUCAUUAGGGCCACAAAGGACAACGUAAAGCAUUUUGUUUUUGUGUUAUUUUCAAUAAUACUCAUGAAUUUGAGAAUCACAGAUUCCUGAAACUGGAUAAGUUACAAUAUCAUGUUGUGAAUAAGGAAUUACCAAUGUACGUAUUGUCAGAUGUCAAUGGAAAUUAUUAUUGGGUAUAAAUAGCUUUCAUUGUCGGUUUUUGUCUGUGCGUCUGUGCAUGCAUCAUGUUUGUAUAUCUGAUUUGUAAGAACUUUUUUGCCCUAUGAAAAAGUGUUCAUGCCUAAUGUGAAAGUUCCUUUUGAAACUUGAGCUUAUUUUGAAGUGAUUUUCCUUCUUAUACUGUGUCUUUAAUUAAUUGAAUAACAAAUUAGCAAGAAUGCAAGUCUUUUCUGCUUUCACUUUUCACUUGUAGGUUUAAUGCAACAGAUUUCUUGACAAGAUUGAGAGGUAAGAGGCUGAUGUUGGUUGGAGAUUCCAUGAACCGGAACCAGUUUGAAUCAAUGCUAUGCCUGCUCCGGGAAGGCCUGCCUGAUAAAAGCAGAAUGCGUGAAAUACAUGGCCACAAAAUAACAAAGGGAAGAGGCUAUUAUGUCUUCAAAUUUAUGGAUUAUAACUGUUCAGUGGAGUUUGUGAGGUCACAUUUCCUUGUAAGGGAAGGGGUUCGCAUCAAUGCACAGGGAAACUCAAAUCCAACUUUAUCCAUUGACCGAAUUGACAAGACAUCAGGUCGGUGGAAGCGGGCGAACAUUCUUGUUUUUAAUACUGGGCACUGGUGGACUCAUGGAAAAACUGCUCGUGGGAAAAAUUACUAUAAAGAAGGUGAUUAUCUCUAUCCACAGUUUGAUGCAGUUGAGGCUUACAGAAGGGCUCUGAGGACCUGGGCAAAGUGGAUUGAUGGGAAUGUAGAUCCUGUGAAGCAGUUGAUCUUCUAUCGAGGAUAUUCAUCUGCUCAUUUCAGAGGUGGGGAUUGGGACUCGGGAGGGUCAUGUAAUGGGGAGACUGAACCAAUAUUGAAAGGGGCCAUACUCAAUAACUACCCUUUGAAAAUGAAGAUAGUGGAGGAGGUAAUCCGGGAAAUGCAGAUCCCAGUGAAACUAUUAAAUGUGACAAAGUUGACCAAUUUUAGAAAGGAUGGACAUCCAUCAGUCUAUGGCAAAAAUCUGACUGCAGGGAGAAAAAUUUCCACAAGGCGGCAAGACUGUAGCCAUUGGUGUCUUCCAGGGGUUCCUGAUGCAUGGAAUGAGUUGAUAUAUGCCACACUGGUUUUUGGACAAACAGUUUCCAGGAGUUAGAACAACAAUGCAUGUUUUCCUUCUAUACAAAUUAUGUUUUUGACAAAAUAAUGAACACUUUUUUGGUUGUAUAAACUAUGGUUGUUCAAGUCGUGCAACAGCAUCCUCUGACAACCACCCUGAUGAUGUGAUGAAAAAUCUGCAUAUGAUUCGCAUUUAUGCGUAUUGUUCCAAAUGUUUGAAUGUCAUAUGCACAUGCACGAACAUCCGUAUGGGGGAGAAGAUUUUAGCUGAUGAUGUUGGUGAAAUUACCAUUUCUGUUUUUCUCUGUUUGGAAACUAUAAUUUUGUAAAAAUUUAAUUUAAUUGAUUUUUUUAUUUUUGUUAAUUCUUAUAUUUGAAAA